Pundamilia nyererei is the source of this 1744-nucleotide long non-coding RNA. RefSeq lists it as uncharacterized. NCBI's taxonomy places the organism in Eukaryota, Metazoa, Chordata, Actinopteri, Cichliformes, Cichlidae. The record is from RefSeq and is a predicted model, not a curated record. The transcript has 4 exons.
CCAUUGACUGUGUGGUGGGAUCAUGGGGUCCCUGGUCAUCAUGCACAUCUUCAUGUGGAAUUGGUAGCACGGAAAGGAGUCGCCAAGUAUCUGUUCCCCCUAGAAACGGAGGUACACCCUGUCCUGAUCUCAAACAACGUCGAGGAUGCUUCGGAAACGACGCCAUAUGCAGCACCGCGAAAGAAGUCGCAAAAAUCUUGCCUAAUUCUUUCAAGAGGAACUUCAAGGACCCUUGGAGGAGACCACACAUGCUGAUGAAGGAGGAGAAGGCCAGUUACUGUGUGCAUCUGCAAGUAAAACAGGCUAGCGCGGCAUGUAGACUCAAACUGUGGACCGCUCGACUGAUGAGAGAGACUGCUGUCUGUGUGGAGUGUCAAAGUGAUGCCAUGGCAAAGUCAGAUCGCUGUGGAGGCGAUGGUGUAAGAGGCACCAGGACCUUCUGGUCAGCAGCUUCAGUCGCGGGCUGUCACGGUUCCUGGAUUCGACAGUUUUCUUCUGAGCGCUGCCAGUGUUCUGACAACUCUUUCCUCUUUGUUUGAGGCGGCACGCUACUCUCAGCAUCCUGCCAAGUGCAGGACAGCCCUGCCAGCCAAGCCAGACCCUCCAAUCCAGAUUACUGGAUGGGUAACUCAAGGAUAUUAGCAGCAUCCUGCCACUUUUUUUCUUUCACCUCAUAUUCUGUACUGUAUAAACUCUUAAAGCACACAUAAAUUCUUGCAUUUAACGUCUGAUUUUACAGCCACGUAAUUCUCCUCUAAAGCACAGCAUCUAUUUGCCUUUUUACCUCUGAGUCUUUGCUAUCUACCUCCAUCAAUACAAGUGCAUUUUCUAAUGCAUAAUGUAUAAAUAUAGAAAUAUAUUAUUUUGCUUUAUAUAUUUUCUACUUAUGAUUGGUUUAUGUAAUGUAUAUGUGUCUAUAUAGCUUCAAUAAUUUGUAUCCAACAGUGUAAACAUCAGACAUCUGUCAUUUAUCCCCAAACAGUCCUAAGUCAUCAGUGGUUUUGGAGAUACUAAAACUGAUCAUCAAAGUCAUAUCCAAACUAGGAUCCUUCGCUCAGUAUUUUGAUGUUGUAUCUUUUUUUUAUCCCAAAGGGCAAAGUUGAAUAUCAGGUACUGAUUCUCAGGUGCUUAGAUUUCAAGUCUCCUUCAUGUCUGCCUCUUCUGGUGGUCAGUCACAGGUGUUUUCAGUAACAUGACUCAUAGCGGAGAUCAAUCACAUCUGUUUAGACUUAAUAUUGCUGGAGAGGAAAAAGAGCCAUAUAAGCGAAUUCACUGUGGUUCUGUCUGUCUUGUGUCCAAGACUUAAAAAAUGCUUCAUGAUUACUCGCCCUGCUCACGGGGGAGUUUUAUCAGAAGAGUAUGAUCCAAGAUAAAUAUCGUGAACAGCCAACUCCUAUAUUUUUAAUUAACCGAAUCUCCUCCCAGCGCUCCCUACAGUUCCUUUACUUUUUUCAGUUCUGUUUUUGUUGUCUCUGUUGACUCUGUGUUUUCCCUCAAAUAAAAUACAGACUAACUACAGCUUUACCUUCUUGAGUUAAACGACACAGCAUAAAUUCCUGCAUCUCUUUUGCUGUUGGGUUAAGAAGAAGGCAGGUGCAGUCAUGUUAUGGAAACCUGUUACUUUCUCUUUACAUCCCCCAUGUCUGUGUUUGUGUGUUUAUUUAUUAUAAACCAUGUGGUAAUUUUAUAAGUGCAGCACAGCAUUUUCUGUACACUGUCCAUUAGUGAAAUAAAGAAAACUAUA